GACGAACGCCGGCGGCGUGCCUAAUACAUGCAAGUAGAACGCUGAAGAGAGGAGCUUGCUCUUCUUGGAUGAGUUGCGAACGGGUGAGUAACGCGUAGGUAACCUGCCUGGUAGCGGGGGAUAACUAUUGGAAACGAUAGCUAAUACCGCAUAAAAUGGAUUAUCGCAUGAUGAUUCAUUGAAAGGUGCAAAUGCAUCACUACCAGAUGGACCUGCGUUGUAUUAGCUAGUUGGUGGGGUAACGGCUCACCAAGGCAACGAUACAUAGCCGACCUGAGAGGGUGAUCGGCCACACUGGGACUGAGACACGGCCCAGACUCCUACGGGAGGCAGCAGUAGGGAAUCUUCGGCAAUGGACGGAAGUCUGACCGAGCAACGCCGCGUGAGUGAAGAAGGUUUUCGGAUCGUAAAGCUCUGUUGUAAGAGAAGAAACGAAGUGUGAGAAGUGGAAAGUUCAC
RNAcentral lists this ribosomal RNA (458 nucleotides) under Streptococcus sp. oral taxon 071. RNAcentral describes it as "bacterial SSU rRNA". It matches the Rfam family "Bacterial small subunit ribosomal RNA", at positions 28 to 469 of the family's 1533-position model. Lineage: Bacteria; Bacillati; Bacillota; Bacilli; Lactobacillales; Streptococcaceae. The record is from RNAcentral.